UACGGAGGAUGCGAGCGUUAUCCGGAUUUAUUGGGUUUAAAGGGUGCGUAGGCGGAUCGUUAAGUCAGUGGUCAAAUUGAGGGGCUCAACCCCUUCCCGCCAUUGAAACUGGCGAUCUUGAGUGGAAGAGAAGUAUGCGGAAUGCGUGGUGUAGCGGUGAAAUGCAUAGAUAUCACGCAGAACCCCGAUUGCGAAGGCAGCAUGCCGGCGCCCUACUGACGCUGAGGCACGAAAGCGUGGGUAUCGAACAGG
RNAcentral lists this ribosomal RNA (252 nucleotides) under uncultured bacterium. RNAcentral describes it as "partial 16S ribosomal RNA". It matches the Rfam family "Bacterial small subunit ribosomal RNA", at positions 524 to 776 of the family's 1533-position model. The record is from RNAcentral.